Molecule: long non-coding RNA, 346 nt
Organism: Alosa sapidissima (American shad)
Lineage: Eukaryota; Metazoa; Chordata; Actinopteri; Clupeiformes; Clupeidae
Exons: 3
Source: RefSeq, a predicted model, not a curated record
GGAAAGGAGGGACAGUCACGGAGGGAUUGAGGGAGGGAAUUCCAGAGCUUAGGGGUCAUGGCGCUGAAAGACCUGCCACCUAGGGUAGAGACUGACAAAAGGGGAAGUUUGAAAUAGGACGGUAGUUGGAGAGAGAAGUGGGAUCAGAGUCAGGCUUCUUUAAAAUAGGGGUAACUGCAGCAGUUUUCAGAGCAGGGGGAACAACACCAGAGGCUAGAGUCAACUAGUAAGUUACAGCCACUGGUUCACAGAUAGCUGUGGUGCAUGCCUUAAGUAGGGGGGUGGGGGCAGGGUCAGGCUGACAGGAGGAGGGGUUAGAUUUAGUGAUAAUAUUUGUAAGGGCAGU